RNAcentral lists this long non-coding RNA (1184 nucleotides) under Heterocephalus glaber (naked mole-rat). RNAcentral describes it as "lncRNA (ENSHGLG00100034730.1)". The record is from RNAcentral. Lineage: Eukaryota; Metazoa; Chordata; Mammalia; Rodentia; Bathyergidae.
GCACUAUACAUUCUUCAAGUGUUUGAUGUCUUAUAUAGUUGUGUGGUUUUUUUAAUGGAAAUUUUCAGGGAGGCUGAGGCAGGAAGAUCACAAGUUUAGGCCCAGCCUGGACAAUUUAGCAACUUAGACCAGGUCUCAAAAUAAUAGUAAUAGGGCAAGGGAUUUAGCUCAGUGGUUUUGCCACCUGCUGAGCAAGCACAAGGACCUGAGUUUGAUCCCUGGUACCAUAAAAUAAAAUAAUAAUGAUGAUGAUGAUGAUGAUGAUAAAUAAUAAUAAAAAGGGUUGGGGAAAUAGCUCACUGCAUAGGCCCUGGGUUCAAUCCCAGUAUGACAAGAAAAAGAAACCUACCAGUCCUUGUGAUAUAUGUAAAAGUAGACAUCUCAUUUCAUAUUCAAAAUAACCAUAUGUGAUAAAAACUACCAUUAUCUUCCCCAUUUUACAAAUGAAGAAAGUGAGACUUAUAGAAGUUAAUUUUCCAUAGUUCCCACAACGGUAAGUGCAGAGACAGGAAACAUAUAGAUUUGGAUGACAGACAUGCUAGAUCUUCUCCAAAGAUCUCAAAAAGCAGUUGAUGCUAUUUUAUCUCACAUAUAGCUUACUGACAGUUAUAAUGUUGGAUACAUAGGGAAGUGUUUCAUGUCUUUUUUAAAAACUUUGGUGCUGCUGGGGAUCAAACCCAGAGCCUUGUGUAUGGUAAGCCAGCACUUUUAACCACUAAGCUAUAUCCCCAGCCCCAGUAUGUUAUUUUUAAUUUUUUAAUGAUGAUGGAAUAUCCAAGUUUUGGACAAAGUUUGGAUAAGAAACAAUUCACACAUACAUAACUUCACAGAAAAGAUGGUCCUUCAUUCACUAGUUAGAAGUCAUUUCGAAAUGAUACUCAUUUUGUUUGUAGUGACAGUAAAUACCAGUACUAGCAGUUACUCUUAUGUAAUUUGGCUUCCAUUUCAAUAAUUGUUAUAUUCUUUUUCUUACCAUGUAAGAAAGUAUACAUUUGCUGAGUGUUUUCAAAUAUGUAACCUAAACCUUUCUGAAAAUUUAGAACAUGCAAUUAUCCGGAAGAUUUUCCACUUCCCCAGCCUGGUCCACCCCUACCACCUCUCAGGUACAACUACUGCUCUGAUUCUUUUGUAUCCCAGGUUAAAUUUGCCUAUCAUAAAACUUAAUAAAAUUUCUUUCAACAUAA